Molecule: long non-coding RNA, 781 nt
Filed under: Pongo abelii (Sumatran orangutan)
Lineage: Eukaryota; Metazoa; Chordata; Mammalia; Primates; Hominidae
Description: lincRNA
Source: RNAcentral
GCAAUGUAAUUAUAUUUAAUUACAAGUGUGCUCCUGGUGGUCUUUAACUGAAGGGCACUGACUGGGUCACCGGUGAAGUUCUCCGCAGGAACUGAGUCAGACCCCAUCUCAGGGCCCUGCACAAAAUAGGUGCCUGCUCUAAGGCGUGGACCCUCGCGACAGCCCUGGCCCGUCUUGACGGGCGACGGUUACUGUACUUGUCCCAACCGUACAGAUGAGAAAGCUGAGACUCAGGGCGAGCAACCCCGGUCCCAGCGGAGCGCCCGGCACGCGCCGACAAUUCAGCACCAGCAGCGGUGGCCACCACUGUGCGCGGAGAUGGCUGCGACGCGUGCGCAGGUAAAGUCCAUCCGCGCCUUGCCUCCCACCGGCACCUUCCCCAGCCUCUGGUUUUUGUCGCCGCCAGCGGCUCCGACUCCAUCGCGUCCUCUUCCAGUCUAGUGCUUUUUUCCAGAUCUCGAUCCCAAACUCCCUCCUGCCAGAAUCUGGACCCGAAUCCACGCAUUGCCCAUUUUCCUCUGCCGCUGGAGAGAAUCUCUGAGGUCCCCAGGACAGCCUGCCUGCACGGAAGAGAUGCCCCCUCAAUUAAAUGCUGUUUUCCAUGACUGUCUCUGUUCUUCCCAUAGGCGAAUGGCAGGCAUCCAGAUCUCCAAGAACAGAGGAUUAGGAGAGACUCCACCACCUAUAUCCUCACAGUUAAUUAUCGAUUUGUGUCAGUUGCCCAUUUUCUCACUUCCUGUUUGUGUGUCAAGGAGUAUUAAUAAAUCUUUGCCUAUUUAAA